UUAGCACAUAUAAACUGCUGUAUAUCUUUUCUUUGAGAAGACAUCUUCAAUCUAGUAGUAUUUGAGUUAAUCAGGGGUUGAGGAUUUUCAUUUAUUUGUUUAUUUAUUUAUUUAUCUAUCUAUUUAUUUAUUUAUUCAUUCAUUUAUUUAUUUAUUCAUUUAUUUAUUUGUUUAUUUAUUUAUUCAUUCUUUUGGAGAAGUUUUUAUCAUGGAAGUAGGAACAGAGAUGAAAAUUCCGAGGGCAGGAGCUACAGUUCCCAGAAGCUUCCUCAGGACUGGGAAAAGACGUGGAUACAUGAGGACAGUCUCUGGGAAGAAGAAAGACUUCUACUUCAGUUACAUUGCUAAAAUCCUGAAGCAAGUCCAUCAGGAUUUCAGUGGGUACAGCUGGGUCUUGGAUGCCCUGUGGUCACUGGAUUACUAUCUGUUUGAACAGGCUACCUUAGAGGCAGUAAGGCUGUCCUUCUAUAAUCACAGGAGAGUGGUCACCAGCAGAGAAAUGCUUGAGGCAUUGAAUAAGGUGCCUCUGGAAGGAUGGAUGUAAGACCUGCUCUGAGAGCUCACAUCCCUGUGGAUAGUUAUUAUUAUUAUUAUAAUAAAGCACAUUAAAAUUUUUUAUAAUUUUUCUUU
Molecule: long non-coding RNA, 630 nt
Filed under: Monodelphis domestica (gray short-tailed opossum)
Lineage: Eukaryota; Metazoa; Chordata; Mammalia; Didelphimorphia; Didelphidae
Description: lncRNA (ENSMODG00000048679.1)
Source: RNAcentral